This 605-nucleotide ribosomal RNA is filed under the name uncultured bacterium. Its description in RNAcentral is "bacterial SSU rRNA". It matches the Rfam family "Bacterial small subunit ribosomal RNA", at positions 118 to 719 of the family's 1533-position model. The record is from RNAcentral.
UAGGAAUCUGCCUGGUAGUGGGGGAUAACGUCCGGAAACGGACGCUAAUACCGCAUACGUCCUACGGGAGAAAGCAGGGGACCUUCGGGCCUUGCGCUAUCAGAUGAGCCUAGGUCGGAUUAGCUAGUUGGUGGGGUAAUGGCUCACCAAGGCGACGAUCCGUAACUGGUCUGAGAGGAUGAUCAGUCACACUGGAACUGAGACACGGUCCAGACUCCUACGGGAGGCAGCAGUGGGGAAUAUUGGACAAUGGGCGAAAGCCUGAUCCAGCCAUGCCGCGUGUGUGAAGAAGGUCUUCGGAUUGUAAAGCACUUUAAGUUGGGAGGAAGGGCAGUAAAUUAAUACUUUGCUGUUUUGACGUUACCGACAGAAUAAGCACCGGCUAACUCUGUGCCAGCAGCCGCGGUAAUACAGAGGGUGCAAGCGUUAAUCGGAAUUACUGGGCGUAAAGCGCGCGUAGGUGGUUCGUUAAGUUGGAUGUGAAAUCCCCGGGCUCAACCUGGGAACUGCAUUCAAAACUGACGAGCUAGAGUAUGGUAGAGGGUGGUGGAAUUUCCUGUGUAGCGGUGAAAUGCGUAGAUAUAGGAAGGAACACCAGUGGCGAA